AGGUGUCCGAUACACACAAAGGGGAGAGAGAAAGAGAGUAUAGUGGAGAAGCCCUCUCUCUCUCUCUCUCUCUCUCUCUCUCUCUCGUAGAAGGUGCCAAUUUCCUUGUUCUGGAUCUGUUUAUUGUUCUUAGUCCUUUAAUUUGUAGCUCUCGAUCUUCUACUGAGAUCACAGCUCUGGGAGAAGCCCUAGCCCGAGAAUUCGAUGCAAAGGGGCUUCUUUUCUGUUGGUUGGCGUGGGGGUCCGUCCCUGCUUGGGAUCCUCUUGAGUUAGGGUUUAGUGGCGGGCGGGGAUGAUGAGGGGAUUCGAGGGGCAAGGAGGGGUUCCUGGGAGCCCUGGCCGCCCCCGUGACGGUCCCAGGGAGCUCGGCGAUGCCGUCGCAGAUAAUGCCCUCUUCGAUGCUUCACAAUAUGCAUUCUUUGGCAAGGGGGUCAUGGAGGAAGUUGAGUUAGGGUGUAUAGAAGACAAUGGCGCUGACAAUGCUGGUUUUAUUGGGAUUGAUGUUGAGUACCAUUUCUCUACCAUUGGAGACAGAGAAGAGGCUGUAGUUUUAGACUCUCUCUCUGAUGCUGAUGACCUUGCUAGCACUUUUGCUAAGUUGAAUAGGGUUGUAAAUGACCCAAGGACUGCAGGAGUUAUUGGUGAUAGAGGAUCUUCUUCUAGAGAAAGUUCUUCAACUGUGGACUGGACACAGGAGGGAGACUAUUUAAACUGGAUUGAUCAGCGAAUAUUAGAUGCUGAAAAUAUUCAGGAAGGUAAAAGAUGGUGGUCACAGCCACGCCCCUCAUCAUCUUUGCUUUCAGAAUCCAAACCACUGUAUAGAGCAUCUUCGUACCCUCAACAGCAACAGCAGCAACAAGAACAGCAGCAGCAGCAGCAGCAGCAGCAGCAAUACGCUCGGGAAUCAGUCUUCAUGCCCAAUUUAUGUGUCACUUCCUACUCUCUACCUGGUGGACGAUCUCAGCCGUUGAUAAACCUUACUCGGCACUUAAGCAUACCGUCUCUUAGUGCUGGGCCCCAGCUACCUGGCCCGAGUCUCGUGCCUCAUUCUGAUUCUCAACAACUUUUGGGAGGAUUAACUCAUGGAUUGCACUAUGGUUCAGACAUAUCUCAGAUUAUUCCUCCUAGCCCUGGGAUGAGUAGCCAGACAAACAACUAUCUGCUGAACCGAGCAAGCCGAUUAUCGAGCGAUGAUAUGUUUCCUAACUUGUUACGGCAACAAUUAUCUCUGCCAAGCAAUUUGAGAGCUUCACAAAUACUGUUGCAGCAUCAACAUCAGAAAUUGCAACAGUUCCAGCCAUCUCUUCCCCAUUUCUCACACUUGCAGACUAGAUUGAACCCUCAUGGUUCCCCACCACAAAUGAGGUACAAAUUUGAUCUGGCUAUUCCCAUGUUUGAUACAAGAGACCAUAGAUUGAAAGCAUCACAAAGAGGAAAACAGACCUUCCGAUUUUCUCACCAGUCUUCAGAUAUGAAGAGUGAUAAUAAAUGGCCACAGAUUAGGUCCAAGUACAUGUCGCCAGAAGAGAUAGAAAACAUUUUGAGAAUUCAAAAUGCAGCAACACACGCGAGUGAUCCUUACGUAAAUGACUACUACCACCAGGCUUGUCUUGCAAAAAAAUCAACUGGAACUGGAAGGCUGAAGCACAAUUUCUGCCCAAUAGCUAUAAAAGAUCUGCCUUCUCGGUCACAUGGUAAUAAUGAAUCAGUUGAUGCACUCAGGAAAGUUCCACUCUCUUCGGUUCGUAGACCUCAACCCCUUCUUGAAUUUGACACAACAUCCUCGUCGGUCAAUGGCACCCAUGAUCAGAAGUCUUCCAUGAAGCCUCUUGAGCAUGAGCCGAUGUUUGCAGCUAGAAUCACCAUUGAAGAUGGUAUUUGUGUACUUCUCAAUGUAGAUGAUAUUGAUAGGCUUUUGCAGUUCAACCCGCCGCAAGACAGUGGAUCGCAACUGAGACGGAGAAGGCAGGUUUUCCUGGAAGGGCUUGCGGCAUCACUUAAUCUCGUUGAUCCACUUGGCUCCAAUAAAGCUGGCCAUUCAGUUGGACUCGGCCCAAAAGAUGACAUUGCUUUCCUUCGCAUAGUCUCUCUUGCCAAAGGCCGAAAGUUCUUAUCGCAUUAUCUUAAACUUCUCAACCCUGGAAGUGAGCUCAUGCGAGUGGUAUGCAUGGCCAUUUUCCGACACCUGAGGUUUUUAUUUGGUGGUUUACCUUCAGAUUCCAGUGCAGCCGAAACGAUAACCAAUCUCGCCAAGACUGUCUCUCUAUGCGUGAGUAAAAUGGAAUUGAAUGCACUCGGUGCUUGCCUUGCAGCCAUAGUCUGUUCGCCUGAACAACCACCUCUUCGCCCUGUUGGAAGUUCAGCCGGUGAUGGGGCCACUGUUGUCGUAAAAUCCAUUCUUGACCGGGCAACCGAUCUUCUGUCAGACCCUCAGGCUGCAAACAGUUGCAGCAUAUCUAACCGAACUCUGUGGCAGGCAUCAUUUGAUGCUUUCUUUGGUCUCCUCACAAAAUAUUGUCUGAGUAAAUAUGACAGUAUUCUUCAAAUGUUACUUGUUCAGGCACCAAACGAUGCAGUCGUCGGAUCUGAGGCAACCAGAGCUAUAAGCAGGGAGAUGCCUGUUGAUCUGUUACGAGCGAGCCUUCCUCAUACAGACGAGCAUCAGCACAAGGUGUUGCUUGAUUUUGCUCAGAGAUUGAUGCCUGUUACUGGCUUUAGUGCUCAUGGAAGUGAUAGUGGAUCUGUGACUUAUGAAUCAGUUCCUGGUUGAUGCCUCCGGAGAGACAAAUCAGAUGGCUCCGAACUAUGUGUUAGGUCUGGUCUUCUUUUGUCACAUAUGUGGCUCUUCAAUUAACUGAGCCAUGUUGGCAACUCACUGAAAAGAUGCACCAUGGAACUUGUAAGAUUCUGGGUUUCGUGGUUCUUGACGGAAUCCCAGAGGAACGCCUAUUGUCGAAGGUAGGGCAUGAGGGCGCGCCGACUACCAUCGUAAGGACCCUCGGCGUCGGCAUCAUCCAUGGAAAUUUUCAUCAAAGCUUGCAGAUUUCGGAGAGAUUGAUGGCAAGGAAGGAGCACCGGAAGCAAUGACGCAAGGCAUCGGAUUGCCGUUCUCCUUCCCAAGGGGGAAUGCAUUUUUCUCAGCCUGCCGUCACCAUCCAUACGCCCGGUAAUCUCUUCUUCUGUCUCGUCUACGUCAUGGGUUUUGACUUCGAUUUGCCAUUCCAACUCUGCCGUCUGACGUUUUCUCACAUUUUGCAUCACCGUAAACUCUCAUCGCCUGCUUUGAGACGGCGGAAGCCAUCUUCUCUGUCUGCCAUUGCCAGAACAUAGGAAGAAGCUUGUUGCGGUAGACCAUGGAGGAUGGAGCAGGUGUCAGUCUAAACAUGCACGGAAUCAGGUCUAUCAAUCGUUACAUCACUGCACCCUUCCCUUCCUUAUGGUAGGCAGGUAGGUUGGUUCUCUCCAACAACAGGGGCUUCUCAUGUUUCGCACUGCAUGUCGUGCAAGGAAUUGCAAGAAACCAAAGCAACAGCAGUGACAGAGACGACUUGGAUCGGACUAUACAACAUGAACAUAGAGUGGAUCACACUCAUCCGUCUCAUAACCCAAGUCAUCAGCUAACUUUGAUCCCUCGUACUCGAAAGCUUCGAGUCCUGAAGCCUUGUGCAGUAUCUCUUCAUCUGCUUCGAAGCCGAUGCAGUCGGUCACGCUCAGCUUCUCCAGCUCUCUGCUGCCGCUCAGAAUCGCCAGCAACUUUUCCUUGGGCAAAUACGAGUCGUGGAGGCACAGACUCUUGAUCCUUGGAAGGUAAUCGACGAUUGCAGAUACGUCCUCGAUCUUGAUAGACCCGGACAUUGCAAGCCCGGAGAAUCGCUUGCAGUUGAGGCUGAUCUGCUUUACCAGUUCCAAGAAGGAAGAUGGCUUCGACUCCAUUUCCAGUCUCUCGAGUUCCUUCCACUUCCCCACGAUCUCCGGGAUGUGCGUCUCCUCCGCCGACAGCAGCCUCGGAAGAACAACCACCUUCAACCUCGGGCAUCUGUCAGCAAUUCAUCUCAUUAUAUGUUUGUUUCUUGUAGGCAGCAGCAGAAGAAGAAGAAGAAGAAGAAGAAAAGGAGUGCGUACGCGUCGGAAGCGUAGACCAGAUCUCGAAGGGAGGCACCGAAGACGCGAGGGAAGCGGAGCUCGCGCGCGGUGCCUUUGCUGCGGGUGGCGGCGAGCUUGAGCAGCCCCGUGAAGGACGGACGGCGUACGGAUAGCCGCGCCGCCAGGCUCUUGCAGAGAUCGCUCCAUGGCAUGAAGUCCAUGCCCCGGAAAUCGAGCACUCUCCAGCAGAGGGGGUCGAGGGAGGCUUUGCGCCACGACCGGCACACCGAUGGCGCGGCCACCGUCAAGUCCACCAGGCUCAGCCGCCGGAAGAUGUUGACGAGGCAGUCCUCCUCCAUCUCCUCCCAUCUCCUCCCCUCCAUCUCCAGUCGCCACGAUGACACAGUCGAUUGGAGUUGUUAGAAGAAGCAGCCACCAGCUUUGCGGGAUAAAGACGGAGGAAGAAUGGAAUGGUAAAAGGGUCUGACGUUGGAAUGUUGACAGGAAUUCCACGCUGGCUGCGUUCCAGAGAGCCUUCUUUCUCUCUCUCUCUCUCUCUCUCUCUCUCUGGCUCAACUGGGCCAGGUUGGGUUGAGACACUCUAUUAGCUUUAGUUGAUCCAUGGAUUCGAUCCAGGUCAGGUUGGGUUGAGAUUGGCAAAUCCACCUCCCAAAGGUGCCGAUCGUUAGUAGUCAGAAACAUGAAAGUUUGUAUCACCGACAGAGAAAUUUGAUGGAAGAUGAUAAUAGAGACAAGAAUAACUCAAGAAAUAGAGUGUGGUAACUUCAA
This is an RNA transcript of Musa acuminata AAA Group (dessert banana), 4872 nucleotides long. It is a transcript of the gene named protein PAT1 homolog 1, with no coding region annotated. The transcript has 6 exons. The record is from RefSeq and is a predicted model, not a curated record. NCBI's taxonomy places the organism in Eukaryota, Viridiplantae, Streptophyta, Magnoliopsida, Zingiberales, Musaceae.